CGUUCUUAAUCUAUUGACACUGAUUUAAAUUUUCGGCUUUAGAUGCCUUUUAGGUUACCGUAUACCUCUAGAACACCUUUAGAGGUGUCUCGCGUCUAUGGGAUGUAGCUCGUCCGGUUUUAACUGUAGAUAUCUAAAUCCCUAUUAAUUAAAGCUUAAAGAGCUGGCUGUCACACUAUUCCAAGAAUUUUGAAAUAAAAUGAAUUGUCGAAUUUUUCUCGACCUUUAAAUGUGCGCAUCCGAAUCAUCCGUUUGGGUCCCUUUUGAAAGCUACAAGGCAAAGGGAAUAUGUUCGUAUGUCCUUAAGUUUGGACAAUAGCUAUUUUGACACAAAAACAACAAAAAUUUGUCUGCGAAUAUUUUAUUUCCAAAUAUUUUUUUCUCGAGAGAUUUAUCUUCGAUCUCUCCAUAUUUUUUUAUGCUUUUUCGAAAAUGUUCCGUAACUUUUCACUCAAAUUGAAUAUGGCAAAUCGCAGACACCUUUUUUUUGGCGCUUUGGGUCCGGAAACUGAGGGACAAAGUAAAUGAGCGAAAAACAAAAUUCGCUUUGACUUGUAGCUUUCAAAAGGUGACUCGGACGCUCACAUUUAGAGGUCGUAAAAAUUAUUUCAAAUUUUUGAUAUAGUUUGACAGCCAGCUCUAAGUUUUAAUUUGAUAUAGGGGUUUAGGUAUCUACAGUUUAAACUGGACGCGCUACAUCGCUUGGACGCGAGACACCUCUAAAGGUAUACGGUAACGUUAAGUUUUAGGUUUUUCAUCCAUUCUUGUCCCGUGACUGGUCAAAUAUGGCUGUGAUUUGAAACUUUUGCAGGACUCUUCGAUGGAACAAACCUGUACAAAAAUGGUAUACUUAGGAGGUCUGGUUUUCAAAAUAUGACGGUUAGAAACCUUCCUUAGCAACAAAUUCAUGACCAAUUGGUAGUUAAGGACCCUCCUUGACUUUUCUGGAAUUCAAACUGAGAAAUGUCUACGCCGAAAUCCAGUUGCCCUCGUUACAUUGAUGUUAAUUUCAUUGAUGAUUUUCAGGAGUCACAAGAAAGCUUUACGUCAAGUAACGUUCCAUCGGCACUUCCCUCUGUUUGCGUCCGCUAGUGAUGACGGGACGGUUAUUGUAUGUCAUGGAAGGAUCUUCAAUGACUUGAUGCAGAACCCACUGAUAGUUCCCGUCAAGGUCUUAAAAGGACACAAAGUGGUUGGAGAAUUGGGUGUACUGGAUUGUCAGUUUCAUCCAACCCAGCCCUGGAUCUUCACUGCAGGUGCAGAUCACCUGAUCAGACUGUACACGUGACACUGCUCUUUCUCUUCAUCUCAUCCUGACUACAGAGUGCCUCAGGUCAUCGCCAAACGAUGGAUCUUACGACAAUCGCUGUAAUCCUGCGGUCAUGAUCAUUGAACCGAUGUCAGCGAGAUGCAACUCUGGAGCUCUAACAUAGCAGCGUUUGAUUCUGGAGAACAAGUCACUGAGACUUUCCCGAGCCCGCGAUUUUCGUUGAAAGGGUUGCUAAGUGACAUGCUUCAUCCUGAUGGCGACAGAUUCACGUGAUAUCUUCGGAGUACUUGAUUGGACAAUAACAAUUUUACUGCUUGCGUGCUUUCACAAAGAUUUGCCGAGAACAACAGUUGUUCUUCCGAAUAUAUGGCAGACGAUGUAAAUAAAACACACCUCGCAUACUUUUGUAAUGAUUGUUCCCAUAAAUGGACUUUCAGAAAUGCAAGUGACUAUGUGAAUUGGUAAUGAUUUGAUAAAGUGAAAGUUGUCCUUUCUUUUCUUGUCUGUUUGAAAAAUGUGAAUAGUACUCCAAAAACCAUGGAGUGGUGAAUUUAUGAUGGUUCUGAUAACAUUAUUACUUACGUACUGCCUUGUACGCCAAUCGGUGUUCAGCGAUAAAGCUUCUCCACUCCUGCUAAUCAUGUGCCUUUCUCUCGAUGACUCCCCAGUUGCAAUAUUUAGGGUGUUCAGCUCGGUUUCGACUGUCCUCCUCGAAGUUCGUAACAUUAUUUAAGGCCUAAACUGUAGCGUAUUUGUUCCUCCGUUGUUUCACGCCGCAGUAAACUCCGACAACUUUGGCCGAAUACAAUUGCAGUAAACUGCGCGCGCACUGAUUGCCGUCGUUUGUGACACGCCGCCAAAACAACUGACAAAGGUCAUUUCAGUUCGUAGGCUCAACGCUUGAAGUGGCCCCCGUGGAAUUACACAAUCGCAUGCUCGUUUAGUGAUUCUCUGCUUAUUUUGGAAACAAGAAAAUCAAGGGCGCUUUCCAUUCGAUAAAAUUUCGGUUUGAAUUUCCGGACGUUUCUGGUGACGAAUGAACCAGCAUUUUCGGAAAAUUCGAAAAAGAGGAAAACCUUGCAAGGUAUACCGAAAUUUACGGUAAUUUCUUACCGGAAAUGCCCUUUCCAUUUGACUUUCCUCCCGGAAAUUUUGGUUUAAUGUACCGCUUUUCGGAAAUUCAACAAUUUCCGCAUUUUCUGGAAACUUUCCCUGGAACUUGUGACACUUGUCCUGGAACUUUUCGUACCAUUUGUUCCCGUUACGAUAUUUUCGGAAGUUUCAAUUGAAUGGACAGCGCUCAAAGCAAAACGAACACAAACUGGGUAAGAGUUUUCAUUUUACCCUGAAAAGCACUGGGUGACCAAACGGUGAAAACCUUGCGUCGAUAUGAUCUCGACAAAAGAAAGCGCAAGUCAACGCAAGUGCACGCAAGGCCUGGCCAAACGGAGUCGCAAGUAGACCCAACUUUUUAACUUGCGUCUACUUGCGUCUACUUGCGAGUCCGUUUGGCCGGGGCUUUAAGAAGAACUUUGAUCUCGGGCAGGACGCUUGAAUCUGAUAAAUAAUGCACCUUAACCAAUACUGUCUUGAUAUGAACAGUUUUCAUUUAUUUACAACGCUUUACCAAGAAUCAUCGUGUGCCUUUUUACAAAAUAUGGUCACCUGCAUUAAAAACACGCUUAGCCUUUCCUGACGACGUACAUGAAUUUCAUCUUCUGGAGUCUCACUUCGUUUAAUACGGAAUAUAAAAUUCACCGUUUCUUUGUUGACUUGAAAUAGAAAGAUCUCAGUAGAGAAAAAUUUAUUUCUCUUAAAAUCAAACCUUGGAGCUCAAGACCGUACAUAAUUUUUCCACAAUGAAGAUGGAGUGCAAAGUCAAUAUUUGUAUCACCCUUUUACGAUUCACUGUUUAAUUAAAAACGGUCUUACUUCAUUUGAUAAACUUGGAAAACAAUCUCUACUCGAAAUUCGAGGUGCCUGACUAACUGCAAAUUCUCUUGCUUCGUCCUUUAAAAAAAGCCAUCGUUCUCAGGGUCUGUCGACGCGUUGACAUGAUUCACUAGAGAGAUCUGGGGCCCGUUUCUCAAAAGCCCCGGCAACUUUUCGGGCCCGUAAAGCCAUUUUUAGUUCAUCUGUUGCUGAAAACAGAGAAGUGUAUAGGGCUGAAACUUCUUGUAUGAAGGGAACCUCUGUUUAUAUUGAAAAUACGCGAAUAAAACAGCCCGGUAAUCAUAAGCUUCGAGAUUUUGCUAUGGCUUUCCGGGUGCGAAAACUUUUCGGGACCUUCGAAAAACGGGCCCCAGGGCUCAAGACAGUCCCUAAGGUGCAGGUUUUUGGAGAGCACAUACCAACUCGUGUCUGACCAGAAACACUAAAUACUUGUAUACAUGGCGAAUAAAUAUUGUGCGAAAUAUAUAAUAUUUUCUUAUAAACUUCUGUUGAUGUCAAUGUCAUCUUUGGUCUGAAAACAUUUUCUGUAAGGUGUUGAUACUCUCUCGGCACAUUUUGCUGUAUUUAUCCAGCGCGUCGGGUUGUUCAC
This 3812-nucleotide long non-coding RNA is filed under the name Orbicella faveolata. RNAcentral's name for it is "uncharacterized LOC110039907". The record is from RNAcentral. Lineage: Eukaryota; Metazoa; Cnidaria; Anthozoa; Scleractinia; Merulinidae.